CCUACGGGAGGCAGCAGUGAGGAAUAUUGGUCAAUGGACGAGAGUCUGAACCAGCCAAGUAGCGUGAAGGAUGACUGCCCUAUGGGUUGUAAACUUCUUUUAUAUGGGAGUAAAAUGUUCCACGUGUCUGAUUUUGUAUGUACCCUAUGAAUAAGGAUCGGCUAACUCCGUGCCAGCAGCCGCGGUAAUACGGAGGAUGCGAGCGUUGUCCGGAUUUAUUGGGUUUAAAGGGAGCGUAGGUGGAUUGUUAAGUCAGGUGUGAAAGUUUGCGGCUCAACCGUAAAAUUGCAGUUGAAACUGGUAGUCUUGAGUACAGUAGAGGUGGGCGGAAUUCGUGGUGUAGCGGUGAAAUGCUUAGAUAUCACGAAGAACUCCGAUUGCGAAGGCAGUUCACUGGACUGCAACUGACACUGAGGCUCGAAAGUGUGGGUAUCAAACAGGAUUAGAUACCCUGGUAGUC
Molecule: ribosomal RNA, 460 nt
Filed under: uncultured bacterium
Lineage: Bacteria
Description: partial 16S ribosomal RNA
Rfam family: Bacterial small subunit ribosomal RNA
Source: RNAcentral